GUGGAUUAGAUACCCGGGUAGUCCUAGCCGUAAACGAUGGAUACUAGGUGUUAGUGGUAUCGACCCCACUAGUGCCGCAGCUAACGCAAUAAGUAUCCCGCCUGGGGAGUACGGCCGCAAGGUUGAAACUCAAAGGAAUUGACGGGGGCCCGCACAAGCGGUGGAGCAUGUGGUUUAAUUCGUCAUUAACCGAAGAACCUUACCAGGGGUUGACAUCUAGGGAAUCCUGAUGAAAGUCGGGAGUGCUUCGAAAGAAGAGCCCUAAGACAGGUGUUGCAUGGCCGUCGUCAACU
This 293-nucleotide ribosomal RNA is filed under the name uncultured bacterium. Its description in RNAcentral is "partial 16S ribosomal RNA". It matches the Rfam family "Bacterial small subunit ribosomal RNA", at positions 773 to 1060 of the family's 1533-position model. The record is from RNAcentral.